UGGGGAAUUUUGGACAAUGGGCGAAAGCCUGAUCCAGCCAUGCCGCGUGAGUGAAGAAGGCCUUCGGGUUGUAAAGCUCUUUUAGUCGGAAAGAAAGAGUCGCAAUGAAUAAUUGUGAUUUAUGACGGUACCGACAGAAAAAGCACCGGCUAACUACGUGCCAGCAGCCGCGGUAAUACGUAGGGUGCGAGCGUUAAUCGGAAUUACUGGGCGUAAAGGGUGCGCAGGCGGUUUUGCAAGUCAGAUGUGAAAGCCCCGGGCUUAACCUGGGAAUUGCGUUUGAAACUACAAGGCUAGAGUGCAGCAGAGGGGAGUGGAAUUCCGAUGUGUAGCAGUGAAAUGCGUAGAGAUGUGGAAGAACACCGAUGGCGAAGGCAGGCUCCCGUGGGUUAGACACUGACG
This 402-nucleotide ribosomal RNA is filed under the name uncultured bacterium. RNAcentral describes it as "bacterial SSU rRNA". It matches the Rfam family "Bacterial small subunit ribosomal RNA", at positions 355 to 745 of the family's 1533-position model. The record is from RNAcentral.